CCUACGGGUGGCUGCAGUGGGGAAUAUUGGGCAAUGGCGCAAGCCUGACCCAGCAACGCCGCGUGAAGGAAGAAGGCUUUCGGGUUGUAAACUUCUUUUAAGAGGGAAGGGCAGAAGACGGUACCUCUUGAAUAAGCCACGGCUAACUACGUGCCAGCAGCCGAGGUAAUCCGUAGGUGGCAAGGGUUGGUCGGAUUUACUGGGUGUAAAGGGCAGGUAGCCGAGCUGACAAGUCAGAUGUGAAAGCCGGGGGCUCAACCACCGAACGGCAGUUGAAACUGUUGGUCUUGAGUAUCGGAGAGGCAGGCUGAAUUCCUAGGGUAGCGGUGAAAUGCGUAGAUAUUAGGAGGAACACCAGUGGCGAAGGCGGCCUGCUGGACGACAACUGACGGUGAGGCGCGAAAGCGUGGGGAGCAAACAGGAUUAGAUACCCGAGUAGUC
This 441-nucleotide ribosomal RNA is filed under the name uncultured bacterium. Its description in RNAcentral is "partial 16S ribosomal RNA". It matches the Rfam family "Bacterial small subunit ribosomal RNA", at positions 338 to 795 of the family's 1533-position model. The record is from RNAcentral.